UGCUGAUUUCAAACAUUUACUCUCAUACUGCAGAAAGACCAACACCUCAAGUGACGGUUUUGCCUGCUGAUCAUGUAUUCAGAGGAGAAACUGUCAAUCUCACAUGUGCUAUCAAUGUAGGAGGAGACAUUAGCUGGCAGUACAGCUGGUAUAAAGAUGAUUCAGACAUCCAGCAGAAUAAACUUCAGUAUUACACAAUCAGAUCUGUUACUGAGUCUGACACAGGUAAAUACACCUGUAGAGGAACAGAGAUCAGUGGAUCACGAUACUCACACUUCAGUAAUGAAGUAACACUGACAGUAUCAGAUAUUCCCCGACCAACUCUGACUGUGCAGCCACAGACGUCUGUGUUCAGUGGAGACAGAGUUACUCUGAUCUGUGAGGUUCAUCAGUCCACUGGAUGGGAGUUUAUCUUCAUUAACCCUUCAAACACUGAAUCCACUGAACUUACAGGAACUAAAACAAUCAGAUCUGUGCGAGUCUCUGAUGGAGGAGAGUACAAGUGCAGAGCCAGAAGAAAAGAAAACAAACAGCUUUACACAGAAGACAGUGAACCAAUAACAGUGACAG
Non-coding RNA from Paramisgurnus dabryanus, 570 nucleotides. The record is from RefSeq and is a predicted model, not a curated record. NCBI's taxonomy places the organism in Eukaryota, Metazoa, Chordata, Actinopteri, Cypriniformes, Cobitidae.